RNAcentral lists this long non-coding RNA (1307 nucleotides) under Bemisia tabaci. RNAcentral describes it as "lncRNA ENSSSA2NGG003084". The record is from RNAcentral. Lineage: Eukaryota; Metazoa; Arthropoda; Insecta; Hemiptera; Aleyrodidae.
AAUUGGUAGGUGAGUGCUAAAGUCUCCUGACAACAGAAUUGCGAUCUUAAAAUUGGAGAAAAAUGACAAGUAGCUGAAAAAAUGGAGCCAAUGGAUGCGAUAUAUCGCAUGCCGUUCUGACACAAAAUAAGGCGUCCAUCAAAUCACCUUAAUCACUUGUGGCUUGUGAUGUUCAAUUUCACUAGAUGCAUACAUUUCAUUGAAUUGGAUGAAUGAUUUGGUUGACAGCAAUCCAAAACCUGAGGAUAACUCAAGGUUAUUCCCAGCAGAUUGCUCGGGCACCGAGUAGUUCACUGCUGUGAACAUGAUGGAAAACCAGGCUUCUUUUCUCUUAUCAUAGUCAGAAUGAGUAAAAUGCUCCACUUGACACAGAGCCUGACAUAAAACGAACGGAUAAAUAGAUGAUAAAUAGUUUAAUGGUCACUGCAGAGUAGUCAUCUAACCUCAAAUGAAAACCAAAUAAAAACAAAGCUCACCAAAUGGCGACGAAAGGUAGGGCUUUUUAAGUUGUCAUCUAAAUUUUAGGAACGGAGUGACGUGACACAAACACUGACAUUUUAGGGAAAUUCGUAGGAUUUUGGAGCACACUGCACUUCGAAUUGUGAAAUUAGCGAUUGUUUUAACUUGAAAUUGAAAACAAGAUGGUUUUCUAUCAACACAAGCCUGCCUAUACCAGCAGCAAGCAGUCACAUAGCAUUCACAUAGAGAAACAAGUGAAGGUACACUCUACUACGGUUUUUGCUUCCUGCUGAGAUGCGGCAAACGACAAUCAACGUCCACCAAGGGUUUGCAACGUAUCACCUAUCUCAACAUAAACAUUCUUUUUUACCGCUCUUUUUGUUAUCACUCCACGAACUGUCAGCGUGAGCAGAGCACGUCUUCUUUCUUCUCUUCUUCGCUCUCCUCAACAUCCUUUUAUGUGGACUGUUGAUUUCCUAAAAGCACGAAUCUAUGAGGAAUCAUUAAACAUCCCCUGUUUAAAAACAGAAAUGGCCCUGAUCAGGAACUGAUGCAAGGAACAUCAUCACGGGGCGUUGUUGCAGGCACAUAAUCUUACAUUAGUGACGAGAGGACAAUAAAUCUGGCCAUUCCCGACUUUCUUCCAAUAACCAGAACAAUCCAUCAUCGGUAGGUAUAACAAAUAAUUCAGAAGUUUAUGCAACCCUUUGCUCUGUGGCUUAGGAAGAAAAAUUUAUGAAUGUUGACUGUUGACUCACAUUUUUUUGGGUUGUGAGCUGGCUUUAAUUCAUGACAGCUAAAAAUCAUAUCGUAAAUACUUUUUUUUGCAGAUAUCUAAGGACCGCUUU